UUGCCAAGGAACACACUAGUGCCUCUUUGGAUCCAGGGGGCUUUACGUGGGGUGACUGAGCAGAGGAGGGGAACAGAAGUGAACAGAAGCUUGGAAUGUUCUUGCCUUCAGUCCUCUCUCUCUGCCAGCUCCCUCUGAUUCAAAGACCGUGUCCUCAGCACAGCCUGUCCGCAGGCCCAGCAGUCCCCACGUUAGCAGGCAUCUGCAAUCUACCAUUCCUUCUUCACUCAGUUCCCGUCACCAGUGGCCGGCCUAGGCCAGGCCCUGUGCCAGGGGCUAGCAGUACAGACUCCCUGCCCAUCCUCAGCUGGCUCGCAGACGAGGAGGCAGAUAGACACAGCAACUGGCAAGUUUCUUUCCUGCAGUGCAGAAAGCCCAGUGAUGCAAGAGAGCAGACAAACAGGAAAUGAGAACAAAAGACAAAAUGAAGCCAGGGGAAAAGAAACUCCCCGGGAGAGGUGAGGAUGGAGCCAAGUCCAGAGUGCUGCCUUGAGGAGAAAUGGCUUUUCUGGAAGACAGAGCUACAGGUGCAGGAGCCAGAGGCUUCCUGGCUCUCAACACCCAGAGGGAAAGAAAAGACCACUCAUUCUUGUUUUCCAGCACAAGGAAACCCAAAGAGGAGGCAUAGUGAGAGAGCAGAAGCAUCCUGCAGCUGAUGGAGGCUGGCAGCUGACACUGCGGUUCACCAAAAGGCCCAUUUGAAUGACAGAGGGGGACAAAGAUGCUAUGUGCUGAAUGAAGCUGUAAAUUCACUGACCUGAACCCUCUGCAUCAGUCUUAGAAGCAACACCUUCUUAGAAUCAAUUUCCCAGAGCAAGGGGCUGGGAGAGAGCGGCCCUCCUCCACAUGAAUAGGCCCUGGGCCCCACAAGACCUGGGGCUGGCCCUGUUUGCUCCCCUGAUCUCUGUCUGCUAUCUGGGCUCCAAGCCCCCUUCCUGUACCUGGCAGCAGAAUAGUAUCAGCACCACUGAGCACAGAAGAGGAAAGCAAUUCUUGCCCCAAACUCAAAGCCACCCUUUUAGGAAGCCCUACAGUAAAUCAGGUUCUUCCUCUUUCUGUGGGAAACCUAAGGAAGAUUUUAAAAUUCUGAUCUGCUUGUCAGAGCAGAACGCACAUAGAUGGAUAAUGUCUUGUGACCUUAAGGCCAGCUAGGAGCAAGGUACCUAUCAAGGUGACAUCCCAAGCCCCUGUUGUAAAACAGACUGUGAGUCUGGCUUGGAACCUAGCAGACAAAGCACAAGGGACCCAGACUUGGGACUAGACCUGGCCGUAUGUCUCCAUGAGGUUUGAGAUGUCUGAUCUCAGUGUGCCUGAAAACAUCACCGCGUUAGUUGCUUACUAAAAUGUCUUAUUCACUCAGAAAUUUAAGAGGGGAUGCAGCCGAAGUCAUAGAAAGACGAUUCCUUUGUGUGGAAUGAAAACUGAUGAGAUGAGUAUUGACUGACUGUUUACUGUGUGCUAAGCACUUUACAUGUAUUACUUUAUUAAAGGCUCAUUGUAUCCAUGA
Molecule: long non-coding RNA, 1507 nt
Organism: Cavia porcellus (domestic guinea pig)
Lineage: Eukaryota; Metazoa; Chordata; Mammalia; Rodentia; Caviidae
Exons: 2
Source: RefSeq, a predicted model, not a curated record